GCCUCGUUAGCGCAGUAGGCAGCGCGUCAGUCUCAUAAUGGAAUGUAGAAAUCUGAAUGUCGCGAGUUCGAUCCUCACACGGGGCA
Nematostella vectensis (starlet sea anemone) is the source of this 86-nucleotide non-coding RNA. NCBI's taxonomy places the organism in Eukaryota, Metazoa, Cnidaria, Anthozoa, Actiniaria, Edwardsiidae. The record is from Rfam.